UAAAUCUAGCCUCUACUCCUAAGAAGAUGG
This 30-nucleotide non-coding RNA is filed under the name Rattus norvegicus (Norway rat). Lineage: Eukaryota; Metazoa; Chordata; Mammalia; Rodentia; Muridae. The record is from RNAcentral.